UACGGAGGAUGCAAGCGUUAUCCGGAUUCAUUGGGUUUAAAGGGUUCGCAGGCGGCGUAUUAAGUCAGUGGUGAAAGCUCCCGGCUCAACCGGGGAACUGCCAUUGAUACUGGUACGCUAGAGUAUAGUUGGCGUAGGCGGAAUAUUUCAUGUAGCGGUGAAAUGCUUAGAUAUGAAAUAGAACACCGAUCGCGAAGGCAGCUUACGAAGCUAUAACUGACGCUCAGGAACGAAAGCGUGGGGAGCAAACAGGAUUAGAUACCCUGGUAGUCCACGCUGUAAACGAUGAUUACUCGUUGUCGGCGAUAUACAGUCGGUGGCUAAGCGAAAGUGAUAAGUAAUCCACCUGGGGAGUACGAUCGCAAGGUUGAAACUCAAAGGAAUUGACGGGGGCCCGCACAAGCGGAGGAGCAUGUGGUUUAAUUCGAUGAUACGCGAGGAACCUUACCUGGGCUUAAAUGUAGAGUGCAUGAGGGGGAAACCUCUCUUUCCUUCGGGACUCUUUACAAGGUGCUGCAUGGUUGUCGUCAGCUCGUGCCGUGAGGUGUCGGGUUAAGUCCCAUAACGAGCGCAACCCCUACCUUUAGUUGCCAUCAGGUAAUGCUGGGGACUCUAGAGGAACUGCCUACGCAAGUAGUGAGGAAGGUGGGGAUGACGUCAAAUCAGCACGGCCCUUACGUCCAGGGCUACACACGUGCUACAAUGGUCGGUACAGAGGGCAGCUACCACGCGAGUGGAUGCAAAUCUCUAAAGCCGAUCUCAGUUCGGAUCGAAGUCUGAAACCCGACUUCGUGAAGUUGGAUUCGCUAGUAAUCGCGCAUCAGCCAUGGCGCGGUGAAUACGUUCCCGGGCCU
Molecule: ribosomal RNA, 854 nt
Filed under: uncultured bacterium
Lineage: Bacteria
Description: SSU rRNA
Rfam family: Bacterial small subunit ribosomal RNA
Source: RNAcentral